This 1276-nucleotide long non-coding RNA is filed under the name Homo sapiens (human). RNAcentral's name for it is "HSALNT0002488". Lineage: Eukaryota; Metazoa; Chordata; Mammalia; Primates; Hominidae. The record is from RNAcentral.
GCACAAUAUCUGGCUCACAGCAGGUAUUCAGAAAAUGUUAGCACAUAAUCAUCACCAGCCCCCUAUCCUGCAUACCUUGUGCCAGUUCUAAGAGCUUUAUUAACUCAUUUAAGCCCCAUGAGCCCUCUGCAAGAUAGACACUAUUAUCAUCAUGUCCAUUUUAGAGAUGGGGAAACCAAGGCAUGGAGAGAUGAGUGACUUGCCUAGGAUUCCACAGCCAGGAAGCGGCAGAGCUGGGAUUCAGAGGCUAGGAGCCUGGCUCCAGGUGGCUCUAACAUCUCACUCUUGUCUGAAGUGUUCCUUAUGUUUUAGCUUUAUUAUCCAUAGCAGAGACCCAGUUCCAUGACUGGUUCCCUGGAAGGGAUCCACCUGAGGUGGGGCAAGGGCAAGCCUCUCUCAUUUGAAGCCCGAGACCUCCCCGAGUUUCUUCCCCUCCCUCACCUUCCUCCCGGCGGUCCUCCCUGUCCCUCUGCUGGGGCCCUGUCCUCACCGGUCAUGCACGGUACCCGGCGGGUCUGCUCGGUCCAACAAAUGUUCAGGGCCAGGAUCAGCCCUGGAUGGUGGGGGUACAGGGAUGAGUAAAACGGGGCUCUUGCCCUUCAGGAACUCAGGCCACAUUCCUGAGCCCCUGCUGUAUGCCAGGCCCUGAAGAGGGAACUAGAGACACAGAAAGAAAGAAGAAGGCAGUCCGUGUUGCAACAAGGUCACUGUCCAACAGAGGAAGCAAACUUGGACAUGAUAUGCAUUGACUGCCUCAGGCAACCUACCAGGUGCUAAAGAUGGAGCUGUGAUCAGGAGACCAGAGGAAACUUGAUUUCUAGUGCAAGAGGGAGACAAGAGAUGGGCAAACAAGUGAGGAUGCCGUGCCCACCCCUAGGCAGAGAUACACGCUACGGAGAAGCAGAAGGAAGGUGAACCUGGUGAUGGGGUGGCAUUUUGGAGCAGAUGGUCAGGGAAGGCCUCUCUGGGGAGGUGACACCUGAGCAGAGACCCAGAGGGACCAGAGGAGGGAGCUGAUAUUGUUUGGCUGUGUCCCCACACAGAUUUCAUCUUGAAUUGUAGUUCCCAUAAUUCCCAUGUGUUGUGGGAGGGGCCCGGUGGGAAAUAAUUGAAUCAUGGGGGCUAUUCCCCCCACACUGUUCUCAUGGUAGAGAAUAAGUCUCACAUGAUCCGAUGGUUUUAUAAAGGGAAAUCCCUUUCACUUGGCUCUCAUUCUCUCUUGUCUGCCACCAUGUAAGAUGUGCCUUUAGCCUUCUGCCAUGAUUGUGAGGCCUCC